This 421-nucleotide ribosomal RNA is filed under the name uncultured bacterium. RNAcentral describes it as "bacterial SSU rRNA". It matches the Rfam family "Bacterial small subunit ribosomal RNA", at positions 362 to 775 of the family's 1533-position model. The record is from RNAcentral.
UAUUGCACAAUGGGCGCAAGCCUGAUGCAGCCAUGCCGCCUGUAUGAAGAAGGCCUUCGGGUUGUAAAGUACUUUCAGCGGGGAGGAAGGCGGUGAGGUUAAUAACCUCGCCGAUUGACGUUACCCGCAGAAGAAGCACCGGCUAACUACGUGCCCGCAGCCGCGGUAAUACGGAGGGUGCAAGCGUUAAUCGGAAUUAAUGGGCGUAAAGCGCACGCAGGCGGUCUGUUAAGUCAGAUGUGAAAUCCCCGGGCUUAACCUGGGAACUGCAUUUGGAACUGGCAGGCUUGAGUCUCGUAGAGGGAGGUAGAAUUCCAGGUGUAGCGGUGAAAUGCGUAGAGAUCUGGAGGAAUACCGGUGGCGAAGGCGGCCCCCUGGACGAAGACUGACGCUCAGGUGCGAAAGCGUGGGGAGCAAACAG